AUGGCGACGCCCAGUGAGCUGUCUCUCGAGGAGAUUCGCAACUACCUGCUGGAAAACGGGGGCACGGCGCGCAAUCACGACCUGGUGAAGCAUUUCAAGCGGUUUCUCACGGACCCGGAAACGCGAGUCGAGGCAAGGAAUCGUUUCAAGGAGUACGUCAACACCCUGGCUACCAUAAAGAACGAGGAGGGUGAAAAGUACUUGGUCCUCAAGAAGAAAUACCGGCAGCCCUUCUUAGACCUUUCGCCCCCGAAGCAAGUGGGAUCCCCCCUCGCCACCUCCGAUUUAGCCACUCCAGUUUCUCCUUUACGCGAGCCACCACCUUACCGGCCGCCACCCCCCGCGCCCCUCAGCCCGUCCUCGAGUAUUUCUUCGGGUAAUUCUCACGUGAACCUCGAAGAGAGCGCGUCGUCGAUUUCUAUACGCGUGAAAAAUGACGAUUUGGAGUCCAGCGCGUCGGCGGUGUCGUCGCCGCCUGUUCCGCCGCGUCGCAAGAGUCAGGACAAACUCAAGGUGGAGAACAAGGAGAACGUCGACAGAAACAGGAACGGCAUCCCGGAAGCUGUCAUAAAGGAAGACGAAGCGGUAACGACGACAAAUGCUCCCUCCUCGGCUGAGCAACUCAGCGUUCGUGAACGGAUGCAACGCUUCAAUCGAAUGGCCAGCGAGACCGAUCUUCAUGCGCGGCCUAACGACACCACGACUGUUCCUCUUAGAAAACGAGCGGAUAAGGGCGCCGACGAGGAUGACAGCGCUUCCGUUGCCUCGCAACUGGAUGGAAAAUCGCGGGAGUGGCUGGUCAGGGCGGCACAGGGGGACUACCAGGCGCUGGCGAAGCUCGCAGCCGAGGAACCUCGUCUCACCAGGCUCAAGGAUCCGACUUCCGGCUAUACGGCUUUACACUGGGGCGCGAAACACGGCGACGAAAACAUCAUUAAAUUAAUAGCGGGUACCUACAAAGACUGCAUCAAGAGCGUCAAUGAGACUACGAAUGGGGGCUACACGCCGCUGCAUAUCGCUAUGCAAUUCGGCCACGAAAACAUAUUCAAUCUCCUGGUUCAAGUAUACGGUGCAAAUCAGGAUUUACGUGAUCACAGCGGUAGGAAGGCCAGGCAAUACCUGGCCUCACAAGAGGCGGCAGUCAGCCAGGACACGUUCCACAGGAUUACUGCUGCCGCUACGCUCAGAAAUAAAAGCAAGGAAAAAGCAUGCAGAGAAAGAUCUUGGUUUCCUACGAAUUGGCUCAUUGAACGUUCGCGUGAAACGUACGACGGAAGCUUUCAGCCAAUUCUUGGGUGUGGCAACCAGCAGCACCACUAGCAACAACAACGAGAAGAUACAUAAAUCAUGGGGAUCUGCAGAUAACGUUCAGCUGGAACAGAAGCUGAUGCCACCGCCGAAGUAUGCGCCCAUCAAGAAACGUAAGAGCAGGCGGCCGCAGGACUUCAGUUCGUCGCAGGAGCAGCAGCAGGUUGCCAGUCAGCCGACUACUCCGUUGCUGCAGAGCAA
This 1509-nucleotide unclassified non-coding RNA is filed under the name Monomorium pharaonis (pharaoh ant). RNAcentral's name for it is "ankyrin repeat domain-containing protein SOWAHC, transcript variant X1". Lineage: Eukaryota; Metazoa; Arthropoda; Insecta; Hymenoptera; Formicidae. The record is from RNAcentral.